Molecule: ribosomal RNA, 372 nt
Filed under: uncultured bacterium
Lineage: Bacteria
Description: bacterial SSU rRNA
Rfam family: Bacterial small subunit ribosomal RNA
Source: RNAcentral
AUUGAACGCUGGCGGCAGGCCUAACACAUGCAAGUCGAACGGUAACAGGAAACAGCUUGCUGUUUCGCUGACGAGUGGCGGACGGGUGAGUAAUGUCUGGGAAACUGCCUGAUGGAGGGGGAUAACUACUGGAAACGGUAGCUAAUACCGCAUAACGUCGCAAGACUAAAGAGGGGGACCCUCGGGCCUCUUGCCAUCGGAUGUGCCCAGAUGGGAUUAGCUUGUUGGUGGGGUAACGGCUCACCAAGGCGACGAUCCCUAGCUGGUCUGAGAGGAUGACCAGCCACACUGGAACUGAGACACGGUCCAGACUCCUACGGGAGGCAGCAGUGGGGAAUAUUGCACAAUGGGCGCAAGCCUGAUGCAGCCAUG